GUGAGGAAUAUUGCGCAAUGGAGGCAACUCUGACGCAGCCAUGCCGCGUGCAGGAAGAAGGCGCUACGCGUUGUAAACUGCUUUUAACCGGGAAGAAACCCCAGGACGUGUCCUGGGUUGACGGUACCGGAGGAAUAAGCACCGGCUAACUUCGUGCCAGCAGCCGCGGUAAUACGAAGGGUGCAAGCGUUAUCCGGAUUCAUUGGGUUUAAAGGGUGCGUAGGCCGAGCGUUAAGUCAGUGGUGAAAUCCUGCAGCUUAACUGUAGACUUGCCAUUGAUACUGGCGCUCUUGAGUGCGCUUGAAGUGGGCGGAAUGUGCCGUGUAGCGGUGAAAUGCUUAGAUAUGGCACAGAACACCAAUUGCGAAGGCAGCUCACUAAGGCGAUACUGACGCUGAGGCACGAAAGCGUGGGGAUCGAACAGGAUUAGAAACCCCAGUAGUCC
RNAcentral lists this ribosomal RNA (445 nucleotides) under uncultured bacterium. RNAcentral's name for it is "bacterial SSU rRNA". It matches the Rfam family "Bacterial small subunit ribosomal RNA", at positions 354 to 796 of the family's 1533-position model. The record is from RNAcentral.